UUGUUUAUGAUGUUGAUCAAAUGUCUGACCUGAAGUGAGCGUGUAGACAGACCUAAGGCUGAACUG
Sorex araneus (European shrew) is the source of this 66-nucleotide small nucleolar RNA. The record is from RefSeq and is a predicted model, not a curated record. NCBI's taxonomy places the organism in Eukaryota, Metazoa, Chordata, Mammalia, Eulipotyphla, Soricidae.